UUACACCUACCAGAUACUAGGUAGGAAACCACGGAAAAGUAGUCGUCAUCAAUUAGGAUGAAUCAAAGGCUAACCCUGCCAAGGGGAUAAAAAUAGGAUUUACAACUACCGGUAUGAGGGUAGAAAACCAAAGAAAUGGGACUUAUAACUACCGGUAUGAGGGUAGAAGGCCACAAACCCCGCCGGGGAGAAGGAUGGAUAAUUACUGGUUAAUGAGCAAUCA
Molecule: long non-coding RNA, 223 nt
Filed under: Lathyrus oleraceus (garden pea)
Lineage: Eukaryota; Viridiplantae; Streptophyta; Magnoliopsida; Fabales; Fabaceae
Description: Pisum sativum (pea) long non-coding RNA (PSAT_LNC025312)
Source: RNAcentral